This 497-nucleotide ribosomal RNA is filed under the name uncultured bacterium. RNAcentral describes it as "partial 16S ribosomal RNA". It matches the Rfam family "Bacterial small subunit ribosomal RNA", at positions 28 to 507 of the family's 1533-position model. The record is from RNAcentral.
GAUGAACGCUGGCGGCGUGCCUAAUACAUGCAAGUCGAGCGAACAGACCAGGAGCUUGCUCCUCUGACGUUAGCGGCGGACGGGUGAGUAACACGUGGAUAACCUACCUAUAAGACUGGGAUAACUUCGGGAAACCGGAGCUAAUACCGGAUAAUAUAUUGAACCGCAUGGUUUAAUAGUGAAAGACGGUUUUGCUGUCACUUAUAGAUGGAUCCGCGCCGCAUUAGCUAGUUGGUAAGGUAACGGCUUACCAAGGCAACGAUGCGUAGCCGACGUGAGAGGGUGAUCGGCCACACUGGAAGUGAGACACGGUCCAGACUCCGACGGGAGGCAGCAGUAGGGAAUCUUCCGCAAUGGGCGAAAGCCUGACGGAGCAACGCCGCGUGAGUGAUGAAGGUCUUCGGAUCGUAAAACUCUGUUAUUAGGGAAGAACAAAUGUGUAAGUAACUAUGCACGUCUUGACGGUACCUAAUCAAAAAGCCACGGCUAACUACGUG